Molecule: ribosomal RNA, 541 nt
Filed under: uncultured Glomeromycotina
Lineage: Eukaryota; Fungi; Glomeromycota
Description: SSU rRNA
Rfam family: Eukaryotic small subunit ribosomal RNA
Source: RNAcentral
UUGGAGGGCAAGUCUGGUGCCAGCAGCCGCGGUAAUUCCAGCUCCAAUAGCGUAUAUUAAAGUUGUUGCAGUUAAAAAGCUCGUAGUUGAAUUUCGGGGUUCUACCGUUGGUCGGGCUUUGUCUGUACUGGUGUGUAGAAUUUCUACCUUCUGGGGAACCAUCAUGCUAUUAAUUUAGCGUGGUGGGAAACCAGGACCUUUACCUUGAAAAAAUUAGUGUGUUCAAAGCAGGCUUAUGUCUGAAUACAUUAGCGUGGAAUAAUAGAAUAGGACGGUGGUCCUGUUUUGUUGGUUUCUGAAUCACCGUAAUGAUUAAUAGGGAUAGUUGGGGGCAUUAGUAUUCAAUUGUCAGAGGUGAAAUUCUUGGAUUUAUUGAAGACUAACUUCUGCGAAAGCAUUUGCCAAGGAUGUUUUCAUUAAUCAAGAACGAAAGUUAGGGGAUCGAAGACGAUCAGAUACCGUCGUAGUCUUAACCAUAAACUAUGCCGACUAGGGAUCGGGUGAUGUUAAUUUAUGACUCAUUCGGCGCCUUACGGGAAAC